GUACACAUGAUGUGAACUUUAUGUUUAUGAGUUCCUCGAUGACACUGUAAACGCUUACUGAUGUA
RNAcentral lists this small nucleolar RNA (65 nucleotides) under Callorhinchus milii (elephant shark). RNAcentral's name for it is "Small nucleolar RNA Z39 (ENSCMIG00000008040.1)". The record is from RNAcentral. Lineage: Eukaryota; Metazoa; Chordata; Chondrichthyes; Chimaeriformes; Callorhinchidae.